CUCCAAUCGAUCCCGUCAGCUGUCUAUCACUGACUUCCCCUCGUGACUACAGUUGCGAGCGGUAAUAUGUUCGCCACCUAUGAACUCGUAGAGGUGGCAUCUGCAGUAUUAACGGCAUAUUACUAGUAGCGAGGAUAGGGAUCGGCAGAAGCAGUACCAACGAACCAUAUGGACAGCUGGUUGUCAAGUACUGUACCGACCUUUCAGCAGUGAACGUGAUGGCAUAAUUGAAUGUGAAAUAAUGUAAAACUGGUUACCCCAGAUUGGGACAAGUUUUGAUCAUAGAUAUAAUUUGAGCACACUUUGAAGAGGAGCUCAAGAUGGUACUACAUACCAAAUAUGGAAGCUGGAGGCUUUGCGGUCUCACACAAGAAGAUUAUAAUUGUUAUUCCUUACAUAUUUUCUACGUAAAAAUGUUGAUCCCCGGGGCGAGUCCAGUUUUGACCCGAGUGACAAAUUUGUGGACGACCUCUAGAUGAUGCUUCAUACCAAAGUUGAAAAGAUUAGUUCUGCGGUUUCAGACAAGACGAUUUUUGUAGGUAUUCUCUAUGUAUAAGUAAAUGUAAAACAGUGGUAAAGAUUGUUGAAGUUUUCGCGUUAAAAUUUCGUUUUGGUUAUCGUAACCUAA
Long non-coding RNA from Dreissena polymorpha, 628 nucleotides. RefSeq lists it as uncharacterized. Lineage: Eukaryota; Metazoa; Mollusca; Bivalvia; Myida; Dreissenidae. The record is from RefSeq and is a predicted model, not a curated record. The transcript is spliced from 4 exons.